CGUCAGCUCGUGUCGUGAGAUGUGGUUAAGUCCCGCAACGAGCGCAACCCUUAUCCCUAGUUGCCAUCAGGUAAAGCUGGGAACGUCUGGGGAGACUGCCGGUGAUAAACCGGAGGAAGGCGGGGAUGACGUCAAGUCCUCAUGGCCUUACAUCCCGGGCUACACACGUGCUACAAUGGCAGGUACAGAGGGCUGCGAAGCCGCGAGGUGGAGCGAAUCCCAGAAAACCUGUCUCAGUCCGGAUUGAAGUCUGCAACUCGACUUCAUGAAGGCGGAAUCGCUAGUAACCGCGAAUCAGCAGGUCGCGGUGAAUACGUUCCCGGGCCUU
This 328-nucleotide ribosomal RNA is filed under the name uncultured Latescibacterota bacterium. Its description in RNAcentral is "bacterial SSU rRNA". It matches the Rfam family "Bacterial small subunit ribosomal RNA", at positions 1053 to 1382 of the family's 1533-position model. Lineage: Bacteria; Pseudomonadati; Candidatus Latescibacterota. The record is from RNAcentral.